Molecule: ribosomal RNA, 253 nt
Filed under: uncultured bacterium
Lineage: Bacteria
Description: partial 16S ribosomal RNA
Rfam family: Bacterial small subunit ribosomal RNA
Source: RNAcentral
UACAGAGGGUGCAAGCGUUAAUCGGAAUUACUGGGCGUAAAGCGUGCGUAGACGGUUGCGUAAGUCGGAUGUGAAAUCCCCGGGCUCAACCUGGGAAUUGCAUUCGAUACUGGAUAGCUAGAGUUCGGCAGAGGGAAGCGGAAUUUCGGGUGUAGCGGUGAAAUGCGUAGAUAUCCGAAGGAACAUCAGUGGCGAAAGCGGCUUCCUGGACCAGAACUGACGAUCAGGCUCGAAAGCGUGGGGAGCAAACAGG